This 213-nucleotide unclassified non-coding RNA is filed under the name plant metagenome. Its description in RNAcentral is "partial contains small subunit ribosomal RNA, internal transcribed spacer 1, and 5.8S ribosomal RNA". The record is from RNAcentral.
UCUCCGUAGGUGAACCUGCGGAGGGAUCACUACGGGCUUGCAAAAGCUCUGAAACCACUGUUUAUCUAUCUGCAUCUGCUUCGGCGGGCGGACCCAGGGCGGGGCCGUAGCCGCAAGGCGCCCGCCGAAGACCCCUAAACCCUGUCGUCUUGAGAAUCUCUGAGUAUCAUAUUAAACAGAAAACAACUUUCAACAACGGAUCUCUUGGCUCUG